RNAcentral lists this ribosomal RNA (253 nucleotides) under uncultured bacterium. RNAcentral's name for it is "partial 16S ribosomal RNA". It matches the Rfam family "Bacterial small subunit ribosomal RNA", at positions 524 to 776 of the family's 1533-position model. The record is from RNAcentral.
UACAGAGGGUGCGAGCGUUAAUCGGAAUUACUGGGCGUAAAGGGCGCGUAGGCGGUUAUGUAAGUUAGAUGUGAAAUCCCCGGGCUUAACCUGGGAAUGGCAUUUAAUACUGUAUGACUAGAGUAGAGUAGAGGGAAGUGGAAUUUCCGGUGUAGCGGUGAAAUGCGUAGAUAUCGGAAAGAACACCAGUGGCGAAGGCGGCUUCCUGGACUCAUACUGACGUUGAGGCGCGAAAGCGUGGGUAGCAAACAGG